UACGGGGGGGGCAAGCGUUGUUCGGAAUUACUGGGCGUAAAGGGUUCGUAGGUGGCCAACUAAGUCAGACGUGAAAUCCCUCAGCUUAACUGGGGAACUGCAUCUGAUACUGGUUGGCUUGAGUGCAGGAGAGGAACGCGGAAUUCCAGGUGUAGCGGUGAAAUGCGUAGAUAUCUGGAGGAACACCGGUGGCGAAGGCGGCGUUCUGGACUGCAACUGACACUGAGGAACGAAAGCCAGGGGAGCAAACGGG
This 253-nucleotide ribosomal RNA is filed under the name uncultured bacterium. RNAcentral's name for it is "partial 16S ribosomal RNA". It matches the Rfam family "Bacterial small subunit ribosomal RNA", at positions 524 to 776 of the family's 1533-position model. The record is from RNAcentral.